GUGAGAGCGAGAACAGCCCCGCAGGUCCCGAGGCGCUGGCUGGGGACACUGCCGCGGAAAGUUCCCAGUCCCCAGCCGCAGAUCUGCAGAGUUGAAAUGAAAUGUUUUGAGCUCUUCAAGCUGACUCGUCAGAAUCCUGGAGCCUUUUAAAAAAUGACGAAUUGGAAGAAAAAAAUUACUUUAUCAAUAGCCAGGCUCCACCAGGAUUGACCAAGAUGUUUAUUCCUGGCACUUGUCAUUCUCAGCAAGCACAGCACAGAGAGCAAAUACAAAAGGCCCAAAGUGCUUUGCAUCUUUUAUGGAAACUUGUCCAAUUUGAUGUCAAUGGAAAUGCAUGAGAUCUUUAUUCAGCUUUCACACCUGAGCAAUGCUUUUGGUCAUGAUGUCAUACUAAGAAGAAACCCCCUGAGAUGAGAAUGUUAGAUGUUAAGAGUGAGUAUGACUGAUACAGAAAGACAUUUGCUGCCCUACGUAGAAUCAGGAGGUAUUUUAAUUUUGAAGCAUGUUGCAGGGUUAAGUUAAAAAGAAAGGUUGAUUAACCUGUUAUAUUUAAAAUGAUGUCUUGAAUUUCAAGUCAGAGGGGACACUGUUUAGCUUUUAGUUUCUCUGUUCUUCAACCUUCUGAAAUGGAGAUACUUCAGUUCAAAUAUGGUAUGUUGGUCACCAUGGUAUAUUUUCUUUUUUCUUCUCUUGGGUUGAUGGCUAACCCCAGACUUCUUUAUUCCAUAACUGACACACUCAUAUUGUUUGUGGUUUAGAUAUUAUGGAGUUUGUAAAUACUUAACUCUGUAUUUUGGCUAUCUAAUAAGGCAUAGGUCGGUUGUCCAGAGUGCAAGAGUUUAAGUGGAAAUGUACACACAUGCACACCUGUGUGCACACACAUACACGUGAGGAAAAAAUGGCAUUGCAGUUAAAACUUUGUUUUGUCAUAAAAAAUAGAAACAGAUCUGUGAAACAGAAGUGAUCACAAAAUCAGAUGAUGCUACACACAGAGUAUACUUGGAUUACAAUGGAGAACUUGAACGAUCGUUGUGAAAAAGAAGGUUUAGUUUUUUCAUUUUAUAUAAUAUACAAAUAUGAAUUCCAGAUGGAUUUAAGCAUUCAUUAAAAAUAUAAAACCACGGGAUAACUAAAUUUGUGGCGUACUGAAUAUUUCUAUCACUCAGAUAUGUUUUUUAAAACCGGGCUUAACAUUGUACCUUUUCAUGUCUACUCCCCAAGGCAAACAAAAACAAAAACCAACCAACAAAACAGAAAAAAAAAAAAACCCAAAAUGAAACAGAAGUUUCUGAAGGACAGCAGAAAUGGGAAGUUUUUUCCAUGAUGCAAUACACUAAAUGGAAAGUAACCUUCUCCUGGAAGCUACACCUAGAUGGCCCUAGUCAUGUGAAACCAGUGAUGAUAGCAACAGAUGAAGAUUCUGGACAGGGAAACUAAGGCUUGAACAGUUUGGAUAUGUCUGUUAUUAAAAUGUAAGCAUCUUUUGACAUUGGAGUAGCAAGAGGGGCAGGGAGCUGUACGAAAAGCAAAAUCUUAAGAAAACAUGACCAAUGUACAGAAAAAAUAAAAGUGAAUAGAGAAAAAUUAGACCACAACCACCACUCCCAGUCAUGAUGGAGAGGAGUGUUCAAUACCCACAGAUCCUGAAUUUUGAGCUGAUUAUACUAAAUAGAUGGGACUUAGUUUUGUCUGCCAUGGGGUUCUCUAUGGUGAAGAUGGCAACUUGCUGACUCAGUCUCAGAAUGCCUUAAAUCCACAUAUUGUGGCAAGUGGAGGUCUGCUUCUCCAAUAUCUCUUCCAGAUAAGUCUGGAGAGGACUGUAAUUGAUCCACCCUGAGUCAUAUGUCCAUGUCCAAAGCAAUGAGUUUGGAAAAUUUCAUGACACACUCCUAAUUUUGUGGUAGGAGACACAUCAGAACCACACAAUGAGUCAGUCUUAUUUAUAAAAUAGAGUUUCAUCUUCCAGAUGAAAGGAAAAAAAGUUGUAAAACAAAAACAAAUAUUCACUAAUGGGGAUCUAUCUGAAUUUCACCUGUAACUACAAAUGCCCAAAAGUAGAUUUACAGUUCUCCUAGAGUGUCAUGAAUUUCAAAACAUAUACAUGGAAUCAUAAGGUAAUAUCUUAAUCACUUCUCUCAACUUUCUGUUGAAUCUCUCCUUAACGUAAAAUGAGAAUAUUUUAGCAGUAGGAGAAGGAUUAUUUUUUCAUUUAUAGACCUUUAUCAGGCACUAAUGUAGGAUUGAGUUUGACCUGAUACAGUGUUCUAUCUCUGAGUGCUGUCAUUCAGGAGUUUGAUUGUAAAUACAAUUUAUUUUAUAUGACACCAAUAUAGAGAACAAAUUUACUUUUUUUUCUUAUAUAAUCAUGUAAUCAAUUGUUCCAACAUAAUCCAUUGAAUAGAUAUUGUGACAUUUCCCUAAUUAUUUGUAAAGGUACUGCUAUUAGAUAUGAAUAUUUAUAUAUGAGGAUAUGAAUCAUGGCUCUCUGAUUUGUUCAUUAUUUGCUUGUCUAUUCCUGUGCCAGUACCAUACAAUUGGUACUAAUAUAGUGUUCUGAUAUUGACAGGAUGAGAUGUUCCUUCUAAUGCUGUAGCUUUAAAUUUGUCUUGGUUGUACAUUUCUUUAUAUUCUUCCAUAUACAUUUGUGGUUCAGUUGUCAGCUUUGAAAAUCACUUUUGGGAUUUGAAUUGGAAUUGCAUGAAAUUUGUAGACUAACUUGUAGAAAAUUGACAUUUUUAUGAUAUGAAUUUCCACAUUCUUAUAACCAUGGGUGUGUUAUUUAUUUUCACUUUUGAAUAUUAUUGUGGGUUUUUAAUAGUAAAAAUAACAAUCAAUAAGUUACAUGGUGGUUACUAUGUGACAGAUGUUGUCAAAGUUCCAUCCAUAUAUCAACUUAUUAUAUAUUCUUAUGGGAAGAUACCAUUAUUAUCUCCAUUAUGCAAAUAAGAAAACCGAGGUACAAAGAGCUUAAGUAACGUGUGCUAAGUCAUAUAAGAGUAAAGCUUUAUUUGA
Long non-coding RNA from Cercocebus atys (sooty mangabey), 3012 nucleotides. RefSeq lists it as uncharacterized. The record is from RefSeq and is a predicted model, not a curated record. The transcript has 8 exons. Lineage: Eukaryota; Metazoa; Chordata; Mammalia; Primates; Cercopithecidae.